This is a long non-coding RNA of Oreochromis niloticus (Nile tilapia), 241 nucleotides long. RefSeq lists it as uncharacterized. NCBI's taxonomy places the organism in Eukaryota, Metazoa, Chordata, Actinopteri, Cichliformes, Cichlidae. The transcript has 2 exons. The record is from RefSeq and is a predicted model, not a curated record.
GUGGUCAAAGGCUUGCACCCAUUUGCCACAGCAGAUGCCCCCGAUUUUCGGGCGUGGUUUGUUGCACGGCUGCAGGGGAGGCUGACACACCGGAGCUGCAUCAGCUCAUCACACCUCCCUUGUAUAAAACGUGCCGGGACCUGAGGUUGGGGUUGUUGUUGUUGUUGUGUGUGGGACACAGCUGAAAAGCUGUGGCCGUGUGUUAGAGGAAGAUCAACCAGAAUAAAAAAAGAACAAACUA